UGAGGAAUAUUGGGCAAUGCCCGCAAGGGUGACCCAGCAACGCCGCGUGGAGGAUGAAUGUCGUAAGAUUGUAAACUCCUGUUAGAGGGGAAGAAUAGUACCGGUUGGACCGGAAUAUGACUGUACCCUCAGAGAAAGCCCCGGCUAACUACGUGCCAGCAGCCGCGGUAAUGCGUAGGGGGCAAGCGUUGUCCGGCUUUACUGGGUGGAAAGGGCGCGCAGGCGGGAUAAAAAGUCAGUGGUGAAAUCCUACAGCUUAACUGUAGAACUGCCUUUGAUACUUUUAUUCUUGAGUUCGGGAGAGAGAGACGGAAUUCCAGGUGUAGUGGUGAAAUACGUAGAUAUCUGGAAGAACACCAGUUGCGAAGGCGGUCUCUUGGUCCGACACUGACGCUGAGGCGCGAAAGCGUGGGGAGCAAACA
RNAcentral lists this ribosomal RNA (422 nucleotides) under uncultured bacterium. RNAcentral describes it as "bacterial SSU rRNA". It matches the Rfam family "Bacterial small subunit ribosomal RNA", at positions 355 to 774 of the family's 1533-position model. The record is from RNAcentral.